RNAcentral lists this ribosomal RNA (491 nucleotides) under uncultured bacterium. RNAcentral describes it as "partial 16S ribosomal RNA". It matches the Rfam family "Bacterial small subunit ribosomal RNA", at positions 29 to 507 of the family's 1533-position model. The record is from RNAcentral.
AGUGAACGCUGGCGGUAGGCCUAACACAUGCAAGUCGAACGGCAGCACAGUAAGAGCUUGCUCUUACGGGUGGCGAGUGGCGGACGGGUGAGGAAUACAUCGGAAUCUACUUUUUCGUGGGGGAUAACGUAGGGAAACUUACGCUAAUACCGCAUACGACCUACGGGUGAAAGCAGGGGAUCUUCGGACCUUGCGCGAUUGAAUGAGCCGAUGUCGGAUUAGCUAGUUGGCGGGGUAAAGGCCCACCAAGGCGACGAUCCGUAGCUGGUCUGAGAGGAUGACAGCCCACACUGGAAUUGGGACACGGUCCGACCUCCUCGGGGGGCAGCAGUGGGGAAUAUUGGACAAUGGGCGCAAGCCUGAUCCAGCCAUACCGCGUGGGUGAAGAAGGCCUUCGGGUUGUAAAGCCCUUUUGUUGGGAAAGAAAAGCAGCAGGUUAAUACCCCGCUGUUCUGACGGUACCCAAAGAAUAAGCACCGGCUAACUUCGUG